Molecule: ribosomal RNA, 347 nt
Filed under: proteobacterium lc33
Lineage: Bacteria; Pseudomonadati; Pseudomonadota
Description: bacterial SSU rRNA
Rfam family: Bacterial small subunit ribosomal RNA
Source: RNAcentral
CAAGAGGAGCGGCAGACGGGUGAGUAACGCGUGGGAAUCUACCCAUCUCUACGGAACAACUCCGGGAAACUGGAGCUAAUACCGUAUACGUCCUUCGGGAGAAAGAUUUAUCGGAGAUGGAUGAGCCCGCGUUGGAUUAGCUAGUUGGUGGGGUAAUGGCCUACCAAGGCGACGAUCCAUAGCUGGUCUGAGAGGAUGAUCAGCCACAUUGGGACUGAGACACGGCCCAAACUCCUACGGGAGGCAGCAGUGGGGAAUAUUGGACAAUGGGCGAAAGCCUGAUCCAGCCAUGCCGCGUGAGUGAUGAAGGCCCUAGGGUUGUAAAGCUCUUUCAACGGUGAAGAUAA